AUUGAACGCUGGCGGCAGGCCUAACACAUGCAAGUCGAGCGGAUGAAGGGAGCUUGCUCCUGGAUUCAGUGGCGGACGGGUGAGUAAUGCCUAGGAAUCUGCCUGGUAGUGGGGGAUAACGUCCGGAAACGGGCGCUAAUACCGCAUACGUCCUGAGGGAGAAAGUGGGGGAUCUUCGGACCUCACGCUAUCAGAUGAGCCUAGGUCGGAUUAGCUAGUUGGUGGGGUAAAGGCCUACCAAGGCGACGAUCCGUAACUGGUCUGAGAGGAUGAUCAGUCACACUGGAACUGAGACACGGUCCAGACUCCUACGGGAGGCAGCAGUGGGGAAUAUUGGACAAUGGGCGAAAGCCUGAUCCAGCCAUGCCGCGUGUGUGAAGAAGGUCUUCGUAUUGUAAAGCACUUUAAGUUGGGAGGAAGGGCAGUAAGUUAAUACCUUGCUGUUUUGACGUUACCAACAGAAUAAGCACCGGCUAACUUCGUG
This 484-nucleotide ribosomal RNA is filed under the name uncultured bacterium. RNAcentral's name for it is "partial 16S ribosomal RNA". It matches the Rfam family "Bacterial small subunit ribosomal RNA", at positions 30 to 507 of the family's 1533-position model. The record is from RNAcentral.